This is a long non-coding RNA of Salvelinus fontinalis (brook trout), 3419 nucleotides long. RefSeq lists it as uncharacterized. The record is from RefSeq and is a predicted model, not a curated record. The transcript is spliced from 9 exons. NCBI's taxonomy places the organism in Eukaryota, Metazoa, Chordata, Actinopteri, Salmoniformes, Salmonidae.
AGGGCUUGUGUGUUGGGCGGAGAUCUAGGGCUAUUCAAACCUGCACAAACAGCAAUGCAACGACAUGGGCAUUAACUAGAAGCUCGAUUGCGGGUGGUUAGAAACCGGUGUCUCGAGUUAGCCAGUUUACCUAACGGGAAAAAUGUAUAAAUAGACCUACUUAUAAUGUAACCCUAAUAUUUAAAAGGAGCCCUUUUGCCGUGACAUUGUGUAUCGCAAUGCCGUGACCCGGAUUCGAACCGGGGUUGCUGCGGCCACAACGCAGAGUACUAACCACUAUACGAUCACGGCCAACUACCUGGGCCAUGCCCCAUCAGGGAGAAGUCGGCAUCUUAAAUGAAACGUACAGUGACGUGGAUUAGCGUUCAAGCAGUGAUAUCUUCGUGUUUUGUCUCUAACAUGACAUGCAACGCAAGAUAAUCCCUCCAGAGCUGUGAAUAAUGAAUGGUAAACGUAACCCUAUACUCUGCUGCCAGUGGACGUCUGGCAGGUUAGGAAGUGUCAGUAUGUUUGCCUGUUCUUCCUGUCCCAUAUGCACAGUGACUAUACUGUGGGCCUGACUUAGACCUGGUCCGACAGACCCACCUUUCUCUUCUCCCAUCCCUGUGUUCAGGUCAGAGAGUGAUAGAUCCAUCCUCUGGAGUUUAGGGGGAACCCAAUAUGUUGCCCCUGGAUGAUAUAAACAAGGAGAGGUUGACCGUCACCCUCAUGGAUGCUAAUCAUUGUCCAUUGGAGGGCAUGUUCCUAUUCCAAGGAUACUUCAGGAACCGUACUCUACACUAGCGGAGCACUGUAUUCCACUGUACCACACAAUACUCUACAGGGGAUGAUUCUCCAGAGCUGUGAAUAAUGAAUGGUAAACAUAACCCUAUACUCUGCUGCCAGUGGACGUCUGGCAGGUUAGGAAGUGUCAGUAUGUUUGCCUGUUCUUCCUGUCCCAUAUGCACAGUGACUAUACUGUGGGCCUGACUUAGACCUGGUCCGACAGACCCACCUUUCUCUUCUCCCAUCCCUGUGUUCAGGUCAGAGAGUGAUAGAUCCAUCCUCUGGAGUUUAGGGGGAACCCAAUAUGUUGCCCCUGGAUGAUAUAAACAAGGAGAGGUUGACCGUCACCCUCAUGGAUGCUAAUCAUUGUCCAUUGGAGGGCAUGUUCCUAUUCCAAGGAUACUUCAGGAGCCGUACUCUACACUAGCAGAGCACUGUAUUCCACUGUACCACACAAUACUCUACAGGGGAUGAUUCUCCAGAGCUGUGAAUAAUGAAUGGUAAACAUAACCCUAUACUCUGCUGCCAGUGGACGUCUGGCAGGUUAGGAAGUGUCAGUAUGUUUGCCUGUUCUUCCUGUCCCAUAUGCACAGUGACUAUACUGUGGGCCUGACUUAGACCUGGUCCGACAGACCCACCUUUCUCUUCUCCCAUCCCUGUGUUCAGGUCAGAGAGUGAUAGAUCCAUCCUCUGGAGUUUAGGGGGAACCCAAUAUGUUGCCCCUGGAUGAUAUAAACAAGGAGAGGUUGACCGUCACCCUCAUGGAUGCUAAUCAUUGUCCAUUGGAGGGCAUGUUCCUAUUCCAAGGAUACUUCAGGAGCCGUACUCUACACUAGCAGAGCACUGUAUUCCACUGUACCACACAAUACUCUACAGGGGAUGAUUCUCCAGAGCUGUGAAUAAUGAAUGGUAAACGUAACCCUAUACUCUGCUGCCAGUGGACGUCUGGCAGGUUAGGAAGUGUCAGUCAGAGAGUGAUAGAUCCAUCCUCUGGAGUUUAGGGGGAACCCAAUAUGUUGCCCCUGGAUGAUAUAAACAAGGAGAGGUUGACCGUCACCCUCAUGGAUGCUAAUCAUUGUCCAUUGGAGGGCAUGUUCCUAUUCCAAGGAUACUUCAGGAGCCGUACUCUACACUAGCAGAGCACUGUAUUCCACUGUACCACACAAUACUCUACAGGGGAUGAUUCUCCAGAGCUGUGAAUAAUGAAUGGUAAACAUAACCCUAUACUCUGCUGCCAGUGGACGUCUGGCAGGUUAGGAAGUGUCAGUAUGUUUGCCUGUUCUUCCUGUCCCAUAUGCACAGUGACUAUACUGUGGGCCUGACUUAGACCUGGUCCGACAGACCCACCUUUCUCUUCUCCCAUCCCUGUGUUCAGGUCAGAGAGUGAUAGAUCCAUCCUCUGGAGUUUAGGGGGAACCCAAUAUGUUGCCCCUGGAUGAUAUAAACAAGGAGAGGUUGACCGUCACCCUCAUGGAUGCUAAUCAUUGUCCAUUGGAGGGCAUGUUCCUAUUCCAAGGAUACUUCAGGAGCCGUACUCUACACUAGCAGAGCACUGUAUUCCACUGUACCACACAAUACUCUACAGGGGAUGAUUCUCCAGAGCUGUGAAUAAUGAAUGGUAAACGUAACCCUAUACUCUGCUGCCAGUGGACGUCUGGCAGGUUAGGAAGUGUCAGUAUGUUUGCCUGUUCUUCCUGUCCCAUAUGCACAGUGACUAUACUGUGGGCCUGACUUAGACCUGGUCCGACAGACCCACCUUUCUCUUCUCCCAUCCCUGUGUUCAGGUCAGAGAGUGAUAGAUCCAUCCUCUGGAGUUUAGGGGGAACCCAAUAUGUUGCCCCUGGAUGAUAUAAACAAGGAGAGGUUGACCGUCACCCUCAUGGAUGCUAAUCAUUGUCCAUUGGAGGGCAUGUUCCUAUUCCAAGGAUACUUCAGGAGCCGUACUCUACACUAGCAGAGCACUGUAUUCCACUGUACCACACAAUACUCUACAGGGGAUGAUUCUCCAGAGCUGUGAAUAAUGAAUGGUAAACAUAACCCUAUACUCUGCUGCCAGUGGACGUCUGGCAGGUUAGGAAGUGUCAGUAUGUUUGCCUGUUCUUCCUGUCCCAUAUGCACAGUGACUAUACUGUGGGCCUGACUUAGACCUGGUCCGACAGACCCACCUUUCUCUUCUCCCAUCCCUGUGUUCAGGUCAGAGAGUGAUAGAUCCAUCCUCUGGAGUUUAGGGGGAACCCAAUAUGUUGCCCCUGGAUGAUAUAAACAAGGAGAGGUUGACCGUCACCCUCAUGGAUGCUAAUCAUUGUCCAUUGGAGGGCAUGUUCCUAUUCCAAGGAUACUUCAGGAGCCGUACUCUACACUAGCAGAGCACUGUAUUCCACUGUACCACACAAUACUCUACAGGGGUCAGUAGUAACUCUAUUCUACUACACCAUACACAAUACUCUACAGGGGUCAGUACUAACUCUAUUCUACUACACCAUACACAAUACUCUACAGGGGUCAGUACUAACUCUAUACCACUACACCAUACACAAUACUCUACAGGGUUCAGUACUAACUCUAUUCUACUACACCAUACACAAUACUCUACAGGGGUCAGUACUAACUCUAUUCUACUACACCAUACACAAUACUCUACAGGGGUCAGUACU